AGUCCCGGCUAGGGACACAGCUCUUAGACUUUGAGCUAGACAACCAGGAGGACAGGAGGACCUAGUAUCCUGCCUCCAUCAGCCCAUCAUUUAUGCAAAUGCUACUUAGUUGCCGUCUAGAUGCAGGAUGCUGUCUGCCCUGUUAAAUGCUGUGUGAACCCAGAUGGAAGCUGAGCAGACAUCACACUCACAGGUUUCAGGCUGGCCUUGAACUUACAGGGAUUCACCUGCCUCUGCCUCCCAGAUGCUGAGAUUAAAGGCAUGUGCCAUCACCACCUGAACAACAGCAGCUUUCUAAGGAACCAGUAAGGCACUACAGACUUUUCAUAUAACAUCACCUUCAUUCUCUCACAACUAAUUCUACAAAACAGAUGUUAUACGACCUCGUUCGCUGAAGUCAAAGAUGCAGAGGGGCCAAGGUGUGGGCUCCGGACCUCACACCAGUGUGGCAGAUUCAACAAGCCCAGAAUAAGCCUCUUCCUUUGCUCACAAUAAGAUUAAGCCAACUGCCUCUUCAUUCCUCAGUCACACUCCUCCUCUGACCCUGCUCCAGGAGGCUCAUCUUGUCAGACUUCACACUGAAUGAGCGCUGAGGAUGCUGUAGAGUAUGAGCUGUGUGCAGGUUUCAAAAGCAAUUUGUGCCCCUGAAACAAGCCAACCAGCAGAGAAGGAACAAAAGAAACAUGGUGUCUUCUACCUCCAGCCUUGAAGCUUCCAGACCUCCCUACACGAACCCCCCCCCCACACCCACUCCCCGAAAUGAUGUCCCAGUGAAGAGCCAGGCUCUUAUCCUUCCAUCCAUGCCUCUCAGGCGUCUGCUUCAUUUAGCAUGUAUGUGCAUUUUACCAGGUUAAUGCAACACAGACUAUUUCCUAGUAGCUGUGAAGCCCAGUGUAGCCUCUGCUGCCGGACACAUGGUUUGUCUCCAGUCUUUCCCUUCCCAGCAAAGCAGCCUUGACUCAUCUCCUUUCUCUAUGACAGAGCCCUUUAGAAUGUACUCACUGGGCCAACGAUGCAGUUUCAAUUUGGGUUUUUAAUGGAAGUGGGUGGCUAGGUAAGUGGGUUGAAUGACUGACUGAUUCUGAAUAGCUCUGAAUUUAUUGAGCUGCUUCCAGGAAGGUCCAGGUGACCUGGGUAGCAGAAAGGACACCCAUUCCUGUUUGAUGGUGUUUUUUUUCUAUCUAUCAUCCUUCCUGUCUUUCCUUCUUUAUUUCUUUCUGGGUGAGACAGGGUCUUAUAAUACAGUUUCAGCCAGCCUGGAACUCAUUAUGUAAACCAGGCUGGUCUCCAGCUCAUGGAGAUGAGCCUGCCUUUGCUUCCCAUGUACUGAAAUUAAAGCCCAGCUUGUUUUUUUCUCUUUACCACACUGGGGAUUCAACCCAAGGCUAGUAAGCACCCUGGCACUGAGUAUAUUCUGGACCUCUUCUUAUUUUAAUGUUGAUGUAGGGUCCUGCUAAGUUUCCCAGACUGACCUUCAACUCACUAUGCAAGUCCAGGCAGGCCUUGAACUCACGAUCCUCCUGGUUCAGCUUCCUGAGCUGAUGAGUGGCAGGCACCAUUAGUCUCAUUCGGAAGGAUGUGCUUCAUCCUUGGUGAAAGCGCUCAUCUCUUGUCUUGGCUGGCUAGAAUUUCCAGGGUGAAGAAAGGAGGAUUAGAAAAGUUCAAGGUCACCCUCCCCUACAUAGAGAGUUCAAGGCCAGGCUGGGCCACAUGAGAAAAACCAAAAGAACAGAUGGUGUUAGCAGGAGGUAGGGAAGGAGUAGGGAGGUCCAGCCCUGGGUGGGGCAGAGCCCCUGCUAAAGACAAGGGACAUUCCUUAGUGUCAACUUUCCCUUAGGAUGGAGAGGAGGGGUUGCUAGCUCGUCACACCCCACAGCCCUGGAGGACAGGAGCUUACUGUUGAGUUAGUGGGGCAGAGUCGGGGAGAGGCUGUCAUUUCGGCAGCCCUGGUACAUGGAGCCACUAGCAGGCUUCUUCGUCUCAUGUCUUCAUCCGCACCACCUCCUAGCAGCCUGCCCUCCCCAACUUGUCCACUUAAAGCCUGGGCCAGUGAGAUGACUCUGCAGAUAAAGGUAUUGUCACCCAGCCUGAGGACCUGAGUUCAAUUUCUGGGUUCCAUAUGAUGGAAGGAGAGAACUGAGUCCCUUAACUUGAUCUCUAACCUGCACAUGUGGAUUGUGAAUGGGCUUAUGUGCCCACACACCCUCUCUCUCACACAAUAAACAUAAGUAAUAAAUGUAUACAUGCAUAUACACAUACAUAAUACACACAUACAUACAUGCUUGAAUGCAUACAUACGUUCGUAUGUAUGUCCUUGCCACUCUCUUGGAACCUGACUCCUACAGAAUGUAACCUUGAUUUGUGCUCCAGGCUCACUUGACACCUGGCUUCUGUGGCUUGUUCGAGUCCUCUGUCUCCCAGACAAUGAGCUAGGAUUCUGGUCAUUCAGGUUCAGCCUGGGUGCAGAGAGUUUUGAGUGGGCCUGUCCACUGGAGACCACUCCUCUCGUCACCCAUGAAGCAUCUAAAGUUAAGUAUGAUGGUGCAGACCUGGAAUCCCAGAAUUCAGGAGGUGGGGGCAGGGAUUUCUAAACUCAGAAGUCAGCCUGAGCUAUCUAGAGAGAUGCUGUUUCAAAAAUUUAAAACAGCCGGGUGUGGUGGCACACGCCUUUAAUCCCAGCACUCGGGAGGCAGAGGUAGGCGGAUUUCUGAGUUCGAGGCCAGCCUGGUCUACAAAGUGAGUUCCAGGACAGCCAGGGAUAUACAGAGAAACCCUGUCUCGAAAAACCAAAAAUAAAAAAUAAAUAAAACAAAACCGAA
This 2819-nucleotide long non-coding RNA is filed under the name Mus musculus (house mouse). RNAcentral describes it as "predicted gene, 32817, transcript variant 24 (Gm32817)". Lineage: Eukaryota; Metazoa; Chordata; Mammalia; Rodentia; Muridae. The record is from RNAcentral.